This 253-nucleotide ribosomal RNA is filed under the name uncultured bacterium. RNAcentral's name for it is "partial 16S ribosomal RNA". It matches the Rfam family "Bacterial small subunit ribosomal RNA", at positions 524 to 776 of the family's 1533-position model. The record is from RNAcentral.
UACGAAUGGGGCUAGCGUUGCUCGGAAUCGCUGGGCGUAAAGGGUGCGUAGGCGGGUCUUUAAGUCAGGGGUGAAAUCCUGGAGCUCAACUCCAGAACUGCCUUUGAUACUGAAGAUCUUGAGUUCGGGAGAGGUGAGUGGAACUGCGAGUGUAGAGGUGAAAUUCGUAGAUAUUCGCAAGAACACCAGUGGCGAAGGCGGCUCACUGGCCCGAUACUGACGCUGAGGCACGAAAGCGUGGGGAGCAAACAGG